This 392-nucleotide ribosomal RNA is filed under the name uncultured bacterium. RNAcentral's name for it is "bacterial SSU rRNA". It matches the Rfam family "Bacterial small subunit ribosomal RNA", at positions 355 to 764 of the family's 1533-position model. The record is from RNAcentral.
UGGGGAAUAUUGCACAAUGGGCGAAAGCCUGAUGCAGCAACGCCGCGUGAGUGAUGAAGGCCUUCGGGUUGUAAAGCUCUGUCUUCUGGGACGAUAAUGACGGUACCAGAGGAGGAAGCCACGGCUAACUACGUGCCAGCAGCCGCGGUAAUACGUAGGUGGCAAGCGUUGUCCGGAUUUACUGGGCGUAAAGGAUGCGUAGGCGGAUACUUAAGUCAGAUGUGAAAAUCCCGGGCUUAACUUGGGAACUGCAUUUGAAACUGGGGAUCUAGAGUGCGGGAGAGGAAAGUGGAAUUCCUAGUGUAGCGGUGAAAUGCGUAGAGAUUAGGAAGAACACCAGUGGCGAAGGCGACUUUCUGGACCGUAACUGACGCUGAGGCAUGAAAGCGUGG